AGCAGCACGAUUGACCCAUGAAAAGUACAAGGUACAACGUUGUGUACGUUUAGUAUGCUAAGGAACUACACAUACCACUGUGCUCCCGACGCACGCUUAUAUCGUCACCACUCAGAUGUGCUUGCCCCCUUCUACCUGUAGUGUCACUGAGUUUGAUAUUAGUCUCGCAUAGCCAGAUCUAUCUCCACACUUUGUUUUUGCGCCAUUUCAGUUUUAAAUUUUAAAUUUUUCCAACUUUUAGAUUUUUCCAGUUUUAUAUCUGUACAUAUUUACAUUUUCUUGUUAUUUUGAUACCUACUACUACUAGCUGACUAGGUUAGUUUCUUGCUAACUUUUACUGUGUGUAUAUAAAUAUUUAGCUAGCUAGCUAACUGUUAUAGAUUUUUCGAUUUUAUAGCUACAGUUAUUAUUAGGUAGUCAUUUUAUAUUUUUAAAACUUAGCUUAGGGUAUUACCGAGCUAACGUUAGCUGGGUGUGAUGGUGCGGUGCUUUGCCUCGGGCUGCAACCACGAGUCUGAUGUGGACGCCUGUUUCUUCUUCCGAUUUCCAACGCACGAGGAGCAGAAGCGAAUUUGGACUAGACUUGUACGAUGAGCUGACAGGAGGCCCAGCAGCAGCUCAAGGCUUUGCAGCUGUCACUUUCCAAAGGGAAAGGAGAAGGGACCUCUUUGGUUUCCUUAGUAUGGUACUCCAUCAAGUGAGGCUCGUGAAGUCGGCAGUGGUUCAAGUGUUGCUCCUGAAGAGGUCAGCAAUUCCAAUGAGGCUCACAAAGUCGGCAGUGGUUCAAGUGGUUCACCUGUGUUUAGCAGUUGUCUAUGACCAUGAAAUGCACUUUUUGUACGUCGCUUUGGAUAAAAGCGUCUGCCAAGUAAAUGUAAUGUAAAGUGACGCCCCUGAAGAGGGCAGCAAUUUCAGUGAGGCUCACACAGUCGGCAGUGGUUCAAGUGAUCCCCCUUCAAAAGUAUUUUCUCCUGAAGUUCAAGCCAUCAUUGAAGAGAGUGAGGUUACUGAUGCACAAGCCAAGCUCCAGUCUGUAGAUGAGAAGAUGCAGUACUGUAGGCAACGGUAUUCUGCUUCCCAGUUGUCCAAAACGGUUAUUAGAUUAGAGACAGGAUUGGCAGACAAAAGAGCCUUACAGGCUCUUGUGGGUUCAGGGUUCGUACGGUCAUGAAAAACCUGGAAAAGUCAUUGAAAUUUAAAAUGCAAUUUCCAGGCCCUGGAAAAGUUAUGGAAAAUAAUAUUUUUUGAAAAGUUUUGGAAAAGUAAUGGAAAUAUAGCUAAAGUUGCAUCAAAUAUAAUUACUAAUUAAUCCAAUCAUAAAAAUAGUAUGUAUAGUAAUAAAACGUAAAUUGGCACGUAACCUUCGCGGUAUUUUGGUGGUGUGAGAAGUUAAUUCGGUCCGGCUCAGUCUGUUUA
This is a long non-coding RNA of Anguilla rostrata (American eel), 1416 nucleotides long. RefSeq lists it as uncharacterized. NCBI's taxonomy places the organism in Eukaryota, Metazoa, Chordata, Actinopteri, Anguilliformes, Anguillidae. The transcript is spliced from 2 exons. The record is from RefSeq and is a predicted model, not a curated record.